UACGUAGGGUGCGAGCGUUAAUCGGAAUUACUGGGCGUAAAGCGUGCGCAGGCGGUUCGUCAAGUCUGAUGUGAAAGCCCCGGGCUCAACCUGGGAAUGGCAUUGGAUACUAGCGAGCUUGAGUGUGGCAGAGGGGGGUGGAAUUCCACGUGUAGCAGUGAAAUGCGUAGAGAUGUGGAGGAACACCGAUGGCGAAGGCAGCCCCCUGGGCUAACACUGACGCUCAGGCACGAAAGCGUGGGGAGCAAACAGG
Molecule: ribosomal RNA, 253 nt
Filed under: uncultured bacterium
Lineage: Bacteria
Description: partial 16S ribosomal RNA
Rfam family: Bacterial small subunit ribosomal RNA
Source: RNAcentral